Molecule: ribosomal RNA, 614 nt
Filed under: uncultured Russula
Lineage: Eukaryota; Fungi; Basidiomycota; Agaricomycetes; Russulales; Russulaceae
Description: eukaryotic LSU rRNA
Rfam family: 5.8S ribosomal RNA (bases 186-339)
Source: RNAcentral
ACAACGGGGGUGCGAGGGCUGUCGCUGACCUUUCAAAAGGUCGUGCACGCCCGAGCGCUCUCACACAUCCAUCUCACCCCUUUGUGCAUCACCGCGUGGGUCCCCCUUUGCAGGAGGGCUCACGUUUUCACACAAAACUUGAUACAGUGUAGAAUGUUAUUUUUGCGGUCACACGCAAUCAAUACAACUUUCAACAACGGAUCUCUUGGCUCUCGCAUCGAUGAAGAACGCAGCGAAAUGCGAUACGUAAUGUGAAUUGCAGAAUUCAGUGAAUCAUCGAAUCUUUGAACGCACCUUGCGCCCCUUGGCAUUCCGAGGGGCACACCCGUUUGAGUGUCGUGAAAUCAUCAAAAACCCUUUUCUGUUUACCGAAAAGGAUUUUUGGACUUGGAGGUUUAAUGCUUGCCUUUCACUUUUGAAAGCGAGCUCCUCUCAAAUGAAUUAGUGGGGUCCGCUUUGCUGGUCCUUGACGUGAUAAGAUGUUUCUACGUUUUGGAUUUAGCACUGUCCCUUUGGAUCCCUGCUCCUAACUGUCCAACGGACAAACGAUGGUGCUCCGGUCGCCGCCGUCUACAUUGGCGGGGGAGGGCUGGNCCCACGAAAGAAAACCUUGA